Molecule: ribosomal RNA, 253 nt
Filed under: uncultured bacterium
Lineage: Bacteria
Description: partial 16S ribosomal RNA
Rfam family: Bacterial small subunit ribosomal RNA
Source: RNAcentral
UACGGGGGGAGCAAACGUUGUUCGGAAUCACUGGGCGUAAAGGGCGUGUAGGCGGUUCUGUAAGUGGUGUGUGAAAUCCGAUGGCUCAACCAUCGAGCUGCGCUCCAUACUGCAGGACUUGAGUACAGCAGAGGAAAGUGGAAUUCCCGGUGUAGCGGUGAAAUGCGUAGAUAUCGGGAGGAAUACCAGUGGCGAAGGCGGCUUCCUGGCCUGUUCUUGACGCUGAGGCGCGAAAGCUAGGGUAGCAAACGGG